AAAGAAUAAGUGCACUUGAGUAUAACAAUGGCUGGGUGAGGCCAGUAUAAAUGUCUAUUCUGCACAAGGUACAGACAAGUCUGGUGGGAUCCAUGCCUGGUUCAAUUUAAUAAAUGUGAGCUUGUCCACAUUGGCCGUGGACAGAUGGCUGCGCUUAUCUGUGAUAACCUCGUGUCUGUGAUAACCUCGACAACGCAUUCGGAUGUCUGCCCUAUCAACUUUCGAUGCUAUUUUCCGCGCCUACCAUGGUGACCACUGGUAACGGGGAAUCAGGGUUCGAUUCCAGAGAGGGAGCCUGAGAAACGGCUACCACAUGCAAGGAAGGCAGCAGACGCGCAAAUUACCCACUCCCGACGCAGCGAGGUAGUGAC
Non-coding RNA from Pelobates cultripes (western spadefoot toad), 371 nucleotides. NCBI's taxonomy places the organism in Eukaryota, Metazoa, Chordata, Amphibia, Anura, Pelobatidae. The record is from the annotation of a GenBank genome assembly.